This 957-nucleotide ribosomal RNA is filed under the name uncultured marine bacterium. RNAcentral's name for it is "bacterial SSU rRNA". It matches the Rfam family "Bacterial small subunit ribosomal RNA", at positions 60 to 1064 of the family's 1533-position model. The record is from RNAcentral.
AGUCGAACGAAGUAGCAAUACUUAGUGGCAGACGGGUGAGUAACAUGCAGGUAUCUGCCCUUUGGCCUGGAAUAACACGAGGAAACUUGUGCUAAUACCGGAUAAGUCUUUACAGAGAAAGCUUUAUGCACCAUUGGAUGAGCCUGCACUUGAUUAGUUUGUUGGUAGGGUAAUGGCCUACCAAGACUGUGAUCAAUAGCUGAUUUGAGAGGAUGAUCAGCCACAUUGGGACUGAGACACGGCCCAAACUCCUACGGGAGGCAGCAGUGGGGAAUCUUGCACAAUGGAGGAAACUCUGAUGCAGCGAUGCCGCGUGAGUGAAGAAGGCCUUUGGGUUGUAAAGCUCUUUCGUCGGGGAAGAAAAUGACUGUACCCGAAUAAGAAGGUCCGGCUAACUUCGUGCCAGCAGCCGCGGUAAUACGAAGGGACCUAGCGUAGUUCGGAAUUACUGGGCUUAAAGAGUUCGUAGGUGGUUGAAAAAGUUGGUGGUGAAAUCCCAGAGCUUAACUCUGGAACUGCCAUCAAAACCUUUCAGCUAGAGUAUGAUAGAGGAAAGCAGAAUUUCUAGUGUAGAGGUGAAAUUCGUAGAUAUUAGAAAGAAUACCAAUUGCGAAGGCAGCUUUCUGGAUCAUUACUGACACUGAGGAACGAAAGCAUGGGUAGCGAAGAGGACUAGAUACCCUCGUAGUCCAUGCCGUAAACGAUGUGUGUUAGACGUUGGAAAUUUAUUUUCAGUGUCGCAGCGAAAGCGAUAAACACACCGCCUGGGGAGUACGACCGCAAGGUUAAAACUCAAAUGAAUUGACGGGGACCCGCACAAGUAGUGAGCAUGUGGUUUAAUUCGAAGAUACGCGCAGAACCUUACCAACACUUGACAUGUUCGUCGCGACUCUAAGAGAUAGAGUUUUCGGUUCGGCCGGACGAAACACAGUGCUGCAUGGCUGUCGUCAGCUCGUG